RNAcentral lists this ribosomal RNA (708 nucleotides) under uncultured bacterium. Its description in RNAcentral is "bacterial SSU rRNA". It matches the Rfam family "Bacterial small subunit ribosomal RNA", at positions 60 to 757 of the family's 1533-position model. The record is from RNAcentral.
AGUCGAGGGGCAGCAUGGUCUUAGCUUGCUAAGGCCGAUGGCGACCGGCGCACGGGUGAGUAACACGUAUCCAACCUGCCGUCUACUCUUGGACAGCCUUCUGAAAGGAAGAUUAAUACAAGAUGGCAUCAUGAGUCCGCAUGUUCACAUGAUUAAAGGUAUUCCGGUAGACGAUGGGGAUGCGUCCCAUUAGAUAGUAGGCGGGGUAACGGCCCACCUAGUCUUCGAUGGAUAGGGGUUCUGAGAGGAAGGUCCCCCACAUUGGAACUGAGACACGGUCCAAACUCCUACGGGAGGCAGCAGUGAGGAAUAUUGGUCAAUGGGCGAGAGCCUGAACCAGCCAAGUAGCGUGAAGGAUGACUGCCCUAUGGGUUGUAAACUUCUUUUAUAAAGGAAUAAAGUCGGGUAUGGAUACCCGUUUGCAUGUACUUUAUGAAUAAGGAUCGGCUAACUCCGUGCCAGCAGCCGCGGUAAUACGGAGGAUCCGAGCGUUAUCCGGAUUUAUUGGGUUUAAAGGGAGCGUAGAUGGAUGUUUAAGUCAGUUGUGAAAGUUUGCGGCUCAACCGUAAAAUUGCAGUUGAUACUGGAUAUCUUGAGUGCAGUUGAGGCAGGCGGAAUUCGUGGUGUAGCGGUGAAAUGCUUAGAUAUCACGAAGAACUCCGAUUGCGAAGGCAGCCUGCUAAGCUGCAACUGACAUUGAGGCUCGAA